ACACGACUACAUUAGAUACCCGGGUAGUCCCAGCCGUAAACUAUGCUCGCUAGGUGUCAGGGACGGUGCGACCGUUUCUGGUGCCGCAGGGAAGCCGUGAAGCGAGCCACCUGGGAAGUACGGUCGCAAGGCUGAAACUUAAAGGAAUUGGCGGGGGAGCACCGCAACGGGAGGAGCGUGCGGUUCAAUUGGAUUCAACGCCGGACAACUCACCAGGAGCGACGGUUACAUGAAGGCCAGGCUGAUGACCUUGCCUGAUUUUCCG
RNAcentral lists this ribosomal RNA (265 nucleotides) under uncultured archaeon. RNAcentral describes it as "partial 16S ribosomal RNA". It matches the Rfam family "Archaeal small subunit ribosomal RNA", at positions 717 to 982 of the family's 1478-position model. The record is from RNAcentral.